CCCGCUGGAAAUUUUCACGGCGCCAUUUUGAAGUCGCUGGGUCGGACCUGCGUGGUGAGCGCUCUCUCCGUAGAAUUGCCGCAGUCGUCUCUGUUGGAAGAUGGCCAUGGCGAACAGGAAUCUGAAGCAAGUGCGCAUCGAGAGAAACAACAAUGGCAGCAACAGCAGUGAGAGGAUUUCCCCUCCGCAGCAGCAGAUGGUGCACCCGGGGAGGAACAAGCGCAGCUUUGACCUGUCCGAGGGGGACCCGGCUCUUAUGCCUCCUAAGAUGGAAGAGGCGGAGGAGUCUCAGGGGGUGACCAUCGACAUCAAGAGCUUCCUGAAGCCCGGGGAGAAGAGCUACACCCAGCGGUGCCGCCUGUUCGUGGGCAACCUGCCGACCGACAUCACGGAGGAGGAUUUUAAGAAGCUCUUUGAGAAGUUUGGAGAACCCAGCGAGGUCUUCAUCAACCGGGACCGGGGCUUCGGCUUCAUCCGCCUGGAAUCCAGAACACUCGCUGAAGUAGCAAAAGCAGAGCUUGAUGGCAUGGUACUCAAAAACAGGCCACUCCGUAUCCGCUUUGCUACCCACGGGGCAGCGCUCACAGUCAAAAAUCUGUCUCCUGUGGUAUCAAAUGAACUGCUUGAAGAAGCUUUCUCCAUGUUCGGCCCAGUUGAACGAGCGGUUGUCAUAGUGGAUGAUCGUGGCAGAGCGACAGGCAAGGGCUUUGUGGAGUUUGCAGCAAAGCCCCCAGCAAGGAAAGCUAUGGAGAGAUGCACAGAUGGAGCGUUUAUACUGACAACGACUCCACGACCAGUUAUUGUAGAACCAAUGGAGCAGUUUGAUGAUGAAGAUGGUUUGCCAGAAAAAUGUAUGCAGAAGACUCAGCAGUACCUCAAAGAAAGGGAGGAGCCCCCAAGGUUUGCUCAGCCAGGAACAUUCGAGUUUGAGUACUCUUCACGAUGGAAAGCGCUGUAUGAAAUGGAGAAACAGCAGAAAGAACAGGUUGACCGGAACAUAAAAGAAGCGAAGGAGAAAUUGGAGGCAGAGAUGGAAGCAGCCCGCCAUGAGCAUCAGCUGAUGCUUAUGAGACAAGAUCUAAUGCGACGGCAAGAAGAGCUGAGAAGGCUGGAGGAGCUGAGGAAUCAGGAACUUCAAAAGCGGAAGCAGUUUCAUAUGAGACAUGAAGAAGAACAGAGACGACGGGAAGAAGACAUGAUUCGUCAGAGGGAGCAGGAUGAUCUAAGACGUCAGGAAAGUUUCAAACCAGCUUACAUGGACACUAGAGAACAGGAUUUGAGGAUGGGUGAUAUGGGCGUCCGAGGAGCAAUAAAUAUGGGAGAUACCUAUAGCCCAGCUCCUGCUGUAAACCAAGGUCCUCCUCCUCCACCACCACCACCACCUCCUCCUCCUUCAAUGAUGGGGAUGAAUAUCGCCAACCGGGCAACUGUCUCAAGCCCUUCAAUGGGUCCUGGUGCUACAAUGGGCUCUGAAGGAGCUGCAAGCAUUGGAGCGGCUAUGAUGCCAGAUAAUGGAGCAGUGGCCAGUCUCCUACUCGGUGCCGGCGGGUAAAGAACAAGAAAAUUGAAACUUCCAUGUGAAAUUAUCAGAAAUGUUCACAAUGGAAUAAUCAGGAGGAUGUUAUCGGAUGUUCAGAUCUGCGGUUGGUGGACAAGAAUCUGUUGCUAACUGUCUCAGUUUAAAUUAAUUUGUGGAUGGAUCAUAUCCGGUGGUCUGCACCAACAACUGGUAUUACCUGAAUGAAACAUGAAAAUGCUAAUGGCUGAAGAUUGAUCUGGUCUUGAAUACAUUUGUGUCCUUAAAUGAAAAGUUCUAUAAGCAACAGAUAUUUUUGCAAAUGUUAUUUGAAAAACUUCUAUAGCCAAACUGAAAUUUGGUAGUUUAAUCUUUCUGUGGUUUGUAUGGAAAAGAUUAGCAAAAAUCAAUUGAUCUGAUUUCACCCUGUAACAUGAGGGAUGAUUUUCAUGUUGAAAAAGUUUUAAUUGUAGUAAAAUUGUUUGAUUAAAUGUUUGUAUUAUCCAACAAUGGAAAUUCUAAAUAAAAAUAUAAAGUAU
This is an RNA transcript of Bufo gargarizans (Asiatic toad), 2055 nucleotides long. It is a transcript of the gene named paraspeckle component 1-like, with no coding region annotated. The record is from RefSeq and is a predicted model, not a curated record. The transcript is spliced from 11 exons. NCBI's taxonomy places the organism in Eukaryota, Metazoa, Chordata, Amphibia, Anura, Bufonidae.